This 795-nucleotide ribosomal RNA is filed under the name uncultured archaeon. RNAcentral's name for it is "bacterial SSU rRNA". It matches the Rfam family "Archaeal small subunit ribosomal RNA", at positions 1 to 777 of the family's 1478-position model. The record is from RNAcentral.
UUCCGGUUGAUCCUGCCGGACCCCACUGCUAUCGAGAUGGGACUAAGGUAUGCUAGUCGAACGACCAGAACUAUGUCUGGGAGUGGCACACUGCUCAGUAACACGUAGCUAACCUACCCUUAGGACGUGGAUACCCCCGAGAAAUUGGGGUUAAUCCGCGAUAGAUGUAAUGUCCUGGAAUGGUAUUACGUCUAAAGGUAUUUCAUACAUGUUUGAAAUAUGCCUAAGGAUGGGGCUGCGGCCGAUCAGGCUGUUGGUGAGGUAAUGGCUCACCAAACCUUUGACCGGUACGGGCCAUGAGAGUGGUAGCCCGGAGAUGGACACUGAGACAAGGGUCCAGGCCCUAAGGGGCGCAGCAACCGCGAAACCUCCACAAUGCACUCACGUGCGAUGGGGCUAUCUCGAGUGCCACCUGAUGAAGGUGGCUUUUCCUAGGUCUUCAAAGCCUUGGGAAUAAGAGGGGGGCAAGACUGGUGUCAGCCGCCGCGGUAACACCAGCCCCUCGAGUGGUGGGGAUGAUUAUUUGGCCUAAAGCGUCCGUAGCCGGCCGAGCAAGUCUUCCGUUAAAUCCAGCGUCUCAAGCGUUGGACUGCGGGAGAUACUACACGGCUAGAGAGUGGGAGAGGUCAGCGGUAUUCUGGGGGUAGGGGCGAAAUCCUUUGAUCCCCGGAGGACCACCAGUGGCGAAGGCUGCUGACUAGAACACGUCUGACGGUCAGGGACGAAAGCUGGGGUAGCGAACCGGAUUAGAUACCCGGGUAGUCCCAGCCGUAAACGAUGCAUGCUAGGUGUUGG